GGGGGCGACUGGUUUCGACAUGGCAAGUUGAAAUUGGAAGGCAGGCCGUGGUCUCCUCGCCACGCUAAACAGGGGUACUGUCAAGUUAAUUGGCAAGUUCAACACUCAGGGCCGUGUGGCCCUCGCUGCUUAAUUUAAUCGCAGCGUGACAACUCGAGGAUUUUCUCCGACCUCGACGCGUUAUCAUAUUUAGGAGAGCGCUCCUUGGCACGUGGUUGGUAUGGUCAGGGCUAAGAUUGAACCAGCUCGAACGCGCGAAGUUUACCCGUGUACGAUGUGCGUUUUAAAUUCCAUCACGAGGUUAUGUCUGUAAUUCUUUCCGGUGACGAUUUGGUAUGGACCGGAGUUCGAUUCUCCGCGCCUCCACCA
Molecule: transfer-messenger RNA, 369 nt
Filed under: Coriobacteriia bacterium
Lineage: Bacteria; Bacillati; Actinomycetota; Coriobacteriia
Rfam family: transfer-messenger RNA
About the family: Bacterial tmRNA, also known as 10Sa RNA or SsrA, is named for its dual tRNA and mRNA-like properties.
Source: RNAcentral